RNAcentral lists this non-coding RNA (259 nucleotides) under Butyrivibrio fibrisolvens. RNAcentral's name for it is "T-box sequence". It matches the Rfam family "T-box leader". From Rfam's summary of the family: Uncharged tRNA acts as the effector for transcription antitermination of genes in the T-box leader family. T-boxes are found upstream of many aminoacyl-tRNA synthetase genes and some amino acid biosynthetic genes usually in Gram-positive bacteria. Lineage: Bacteria; Bacillati; Bacillota; Clostridia; Lachnospirales; Lachnospiraceae. The record is from RNAcentral.
AACGUAACGUUGAAGAGGAAUAGUAAUGGAACUGUCCUGUCCCAGAGAGAAGACUUAUCUGGUGCGAAGUCUUUACAGAGAUGUCCGUGAACCUGCCUUGGAGUUCUAUGUGAAAGUUAUAAUAUAAACGUGUUAUGACGUAAGCAUAGCGUUUCCCGCGUUAAGGGAUAGUUGAGAGAAAUCUGUUUUUCUUUUUCUAAAAGCAGAUUUAAAUAGGGUGGUACCGCCGAAGAUGAAUUUAUAACCUUUGGUCCCUGUU